RNAcentral lists this non-coding RNA (30 nucleotides) under Rattus norvegicus (Norway rat). Lineage: Eukaryota; Metazoa; Chordata; Mammalia; Rodentia; Muridae. The record is from RNAcentral.
AGGUGUGAGAUUUGGGGAGCAUCUCUCAGC